GACCCAGUGGCGAAGUGGUCUCGCACCCGCUUAGCUUGAACCAGUGAGUUGAAAACGUUUCUGCGGAAGACACCGUUCGAUUCGGGUCUGGGUCA
Molecule: non-coding RNA, 95 nt
Organism: Mycena latifolia
Lineage: Eukaryota; Fungi; Basidiomycota; Agaricomycetes; Agaricales; Mycenaceae
Source: the annotation of a GenBank genome assembly